This 75-nucleotide transfer RNA is filed under the name Caulobacter phage Ccr10. RNAcentral's name for it is "tRNA-Ile". It matches the Rfam family "tRNA". Rfam says of the family: Transfer RNA (tRNA) molecules are approximately 80 nucleotides in length. Lineage: Duplodnaviria; Heunggongvirae; Uroviricota; Caudoviricetes; Jeanschmidtviridae. RNAcentral also lists the same sequence under 2 other names. The record is from RNAcentral.
UGUGGCAUAGCUCAGGGGUAGAGCGCGCGCUUGAUAAGCGUGAGGACGGGGGUUCGAAGCCCUCUGCCACUACCA